This 161-nucleotide ribosomal RNA is filed under the name uncultured bacterium. Its description in RNAcentral is "partial 16S ribosomal RNA". It matches the Rfam family "Bacterial small subunit ribosomal RNA", at positions 358 to 511 of the family's 1533-position model. The record is from RNAcentral.
GGAAUCUUCGGCAAUGGACGAAAGUCUGACCGAGCAACGCCGCGUGAGUGAAGAAGGUUUUCGGAUCGUAAAACUCUGUUGGUAGAGAAGAACAAGGGUGAGAGUAACUGUUCACCCCUUGACGGUAUCUAACCAGAAAGCCACGGCUAACUACGUGCCUG